RNAcentral lists this unclassified non-coding RNA (88 nucleotides) under Pseudomonas sp. B10. Lineage: Bacteria; Pseudomonadati; Pseudomonadota; Gammaproteobacteria; Pseudomonadales; Pseudomonadaceae. The record is from RNAcentral.
GUGGGAGCGAGCCUGCUCGCGAAGGCGUUUUACCAGUCAGCAUCAUUGUUUGCUGACAGACCGCUUUCGCGAGCAGGCUCGCUCCCAC